CCUACGGGAGGCUGCAGUGAGGAAUAUUGGUCAAUGGGCGUAAGCCUGAACCAGCCAAGUCGCGUGAGGGAUGAAGGUUCUAUGGAUCGUAAACCUCUUUUGUCAGGGAAUAAAGUGUGGGACGUGUCCUUUUUCGUAUGUACCUUAUGAAUAAGGAUCGGCUAACUCCGUGCCAGCAGCCGCGGUAAUACGGAGGAUCCGAGCGUUAUCCGGAUUUAUUGGGUUUAAAGGGUGCGUAGGCGGCCUUUUAAGUCAGCGGUGAAAGGCUGUGGCUCAACCCUAGAAUUGCCGUUGAAACUGGGUGGCUUGAGUAGUUGUGAGGCAGGCGGAAUGCGUGGUGUAGCGGUGAAAUGCUUAGAUAUCGCGCAGAACCCCGAUUGCGAAGGCAGCCUGCCAGGCC
RNAcentral lists this ribosomal RNA (400 nucleotides) under uncultured bacterium. RNAcentral describes it as "partial 16S ribosomal RNA". It matches the Rfam family "Bacterial small subunit ribosomal RNA", at positions 338 to 734 of the family's 1533-position model. The record is from RNAcentral.